UACGUAGGGGGCAAGCGUUGUCCGGAUUUACUGGGCGUAAAGAGCGCGUAGGCGGAAGCUUAAGCGGUACCUGAAAGCCCCCGGCUCAACCGGGGAAGGUGGCGCCGAACUGGGCUUCUUGAGGGCGAUAGAGGAAAGUGGAAUUCCGGGUGUAGCGGUGAAAUGCGUAGAUAUCCGGAGGAACACCAGUGGCGCAGGCGGCUUCUGGGUCGACCCUGACGCUGAGGCGCGAAAGCGUGGGGAGCGAACGGG
This 252-nucleotide ribosomal RNA is filed under the name uncultured bacterium. RNAcentral's name for it is "partial 16S ribosomal RNA". It matches the Rfam family "Bacterial small subunit ribosomal RNA", at positions 524 to 776 of the family's 1533-position model. The record is from RNAcentral.